Molecule: ribosomal RNA, 490 nt
Filed under: uncultured bacterium
Lineage: Bacteria
Description: partial 16S ribosomal RNA
Rfam family: Bacterial small subunit ribosomal RNA
Source: RNAcentral
GAUGAACGCUAGCUACAGGCUUAACACAUGCAAGUCGCGGGGCAGCAUGGGGGUUGCUUGCAAUCCCCGAUGGCGACCGGCGCACGGGUGAGUAACGCGUAUCCAACCUGCCCUUCACCACGGGAUAACCCGGCGAAAGUCGGACUAAUACCGUAUGUUGUCCAUUGACGGCAUCCGAUUUGGACGAAAGGUUUGGCGGUGAAGGAUGGGGAUGCGUCCGAUUAGCUGGACGGCGGGGUGACGGCCCACCGUGGCGACGAUCGGUAGGGGUUCUGAGAGGAAGGUCCCCCACACUGGAACUGAGACACGGUCCAGACUCCUACGGGAGGCAGCAGUGAGGAAUAUUGGUCAAUGGGCGUAAGCCUGAACCAGCCAAGUAGCGUGCAGGAUGACGGCCCUAUGGGUUGUAAACUGCUUUUAUGCGGGGAUAAAGUGGCCCACGUGUGGGUUUUUGCAGGUACCGCAUGAAUAAGGACCGGCUAAGUCCGUG